Molecule: long non-coding RNA, 306 nt
Filed under: Felis catus (domestic cat)
Lineage: Eukaryota; Metazoa; Chordata; Mammalia; Carnivora; Felidae
Description: lncRNA (ENSFCAG00000051544.1)
Source: RNAcentral
AUGAGACAAGAAGAAAAAGAUUAUGGAAGAGAUACCCCAAGGAAACACCAUUCUAGGAAGAUUUUAUAUACAGGCAAUGCCACGGGAAAAAAUAAGGUGAUGUUCCAGUUAAAAAGCACACACGUGGCAUGUGUGCAUAUCUAUGCAGAUGCUCAAUUGAAAGGAGCGGCAACAUUUCAGGACUUCUUGGGUGGAAGAAAGUUGGCAGAGAGAAAGUCCACGAGCCAAGACUGCCUGAGCAAGAAACUUUUAAGCAUGGCUACAUCAGCAAAAGUCACAUCGAGGCGGCAGCUUCCUGCUGAGUAA